Molecule: small nuclear RNA, 107 nt
Organism: Kogia breviceps (pygmy sperm whale)
Lineage: Eukaryota; Metazoa; Chordata; Mammalia; Artiodactyla; Physeteridae
Source: RefSeq, a predicted model, not a curated record
GCUUGCUUCAGCAGCACACAUAUACUAAAAUUGGAACAAUACAGAAAAGAUUAGAAUGGCCCCUGUGCAAGGAUGACAUGCAAAUUCAUGAAGCAUUCCGUAUUUGG